Molecule: RNA transcript, 3368 nt
Organism: Cebus imitator (Panamanian white-faced capuchin)
Lineage: Eukaryota; Metazoa; Chordata; Mammalia; Primates; Cebidae
Gene name: amyloid-beta A4 precursor protein-binding family A member 2-like
Exons: 3
Source: RefSeq, a predicted model, not a curated record
CUGCUGUGCUCUAUUAUAGCAUCACUUCUACCUCCAACACUUUAUUUUCUGUGCAUUUUUUGCUAUCAUAUUGGUCUGUAUCACUGUAUUCUGAGUUCCUGGAAAAGUGGUAGAAGAACGUCAACUCUAUGCCAAGAAUGUGGUACAAAUGUAACGUGUUUCCUGAAUGGACGAAUGAAUGGAUGAGAGGAGGAGAUGGCUGCAAAGAAAUGAAAUUCAGCCUUCUUCAAUAUUUUAUCUUUAGCCUCAGAAUUGAGUCCUGUGAUGACGUUAGAGAAAAUUCUGAAAUUUCUUGGGCUUUGGAAAUGGCUUUGACUCCAUAAAGCUGGCCUAUAAGAUCAGGAAGAGCAAAGAUUACCAGAACUAUAGAGGGAAAAUAUUUCAGGACAAGAACUAGCCGUCUUCUCCCUUAUUCCCAAUUUAUGAGUUCAAGUCCUACCUGACACAGGUAUCAGUAAACUUUAAGAACCUGGAAGGUUGUAUAGUAUAAUGCUUAAACAUGCAGAUUCUGGAUCUGUGUCCUCACUGUGUGGCUUACUAACCAUCCAUCCUUAUGUGACCUUGUGCAAAUUACAUAAUCUCUCUAGGUUUCAGUUUCCUUAUAAAUAAAACGGGGAUUAUUAUGAUUAUAAUAGUACCUCCCAGGAUUAUUAGGAAUGUUAAAUGAGCUAAUACAAAGAAAGAACGUAGAACAGUGAUUGGAACAUAGUACUAAAUUGUCACCUAUAAUAUAACACUGCGUAAAUAACAUAGCUCAGUAAAUUUAGCUGUUACUGACUUAUGCUAGCUGAGAAAAGUAGAUUCACAAGGCUUUGAAUGAUGUGGAAGCCUUCUCUUAUUUCUCAAGGCUAUAGUCUACACUGAUGUAGGCUGAAGCCUUGAUUACAGUGGCAUAUUGGGAAUUGCUAGAAAAUUAAGAGGCUGUUGGUAAGAGUCCCUAACCAAUUGGAGGGGCACCCAUACCUUUCCUUACUUAGUCCAUACUUAGUCGACUCUUACAGCGUGCAAACUCUGCCAUCAUUUAUUUAACCAUUCUUUUAUUUACGGGUACAUGAGUCGUUUCCAGUUUUUUAAAAGAAUGCUGCAGUGAAAAUCUUCAGCUGUCAUUUUUCACAUUACUGUGGGAGAAUGUGGUGGGAGGCGCCAUGGGGGUGAGUGACCCCAUGUGUGACCAGGCUUUGUGAGCUUUUGCCUCUGUCUUUCCCAAUGUUCCUCCUACAGUGGCUGCACCUGGGUGAUGAUGGCUGCGUGAGUGCCCGCCAUGGCCCACCGGAAGUGUGAGAGUGCGGGGAGCAGCAUGUUUGACCACAAGGUGAGGCCGGGCCCUGUCUCCCACGGCCAGGAGCGAGGACGUGGAGCUGCCCUAGGAAGGCUCUGUGGCCAAGGGCCAGGAGCUGUCUGCCCUGUGGCCAGAGAUCCCCAUGCCUGAGGAGCAGGAGUUCCACAACCACAGCCCCGAUGGGGACUCCAGCUCCGACUACGUGAACAAUACCUUCUAGGAGGAGGACUACAACAAGAGCCUGCCCGAGAAGGAGGAGGGCAUCACCUAUAUCCGCUACUGCCCCAAGGAUGACAGCUACCUGGAGGGCAUGGACUGCAAUGGGGAGGAGUACCUGGCCCAUGGCGCACACCCCAUGGACACCGAGGAGUGCCAGGAGGCGGUGGAGGAAUGGGCGGACUCGGCGGGCCUGCACCCUCACAGCCACAGGGCUGAGGGAAGCCAGAACUACCCAGACGGCCACCUGCCCAUCCCAGAGGAUGAGCCCUCAGUCCUGGAGGCCCAUGACCAGGAAGAAGAUGGACACUACUGUCACAGCAAAGAGGGCUAGGAGGACUGCUACCCCAUGGAGGCCAAUGGAAACACCAGUGCCUCCCCCUACCACCUGAGGUGUGGGGAUGGGGACCUGGAGGACCAGGAGGAGGACAUUAACCAGAUCAUGAGCAUGAGCAUGACCAGCAUCACUAGUGCUAGUGAGGCCAGCAUGGGACUGAGCCGGGACCUCGGAAUUCUGCAGAGGCCUGCCUGCCCAGCAAGGCCAGCUGCAGCCCCAGCAGGCAUGAAACGAGGCCCAAGUCACUGAACCUCCCUCCCAAGGCCAAGCACUGUGGAGACCCCCAGAGAGGCUUCAAGCCCAAGAUCAGGACCCCAGAGGAGAGGCCACAAGCAGUGUUCCUCCUACAGCGGCUGCCCCUGGGUGAUGAUGGCUGCGUGAGUGCCCGCCAUGGCCCAUCAGAAGUAUGGGAGCACGGGGAGCGGCAUGUUGGACCACAGGGCGAGUCUGGGCCCUGUCUCCCACGGCCAGGAGUGAGGACUUGGAGCUGCCCUAGGAGGGCUAGGUGCCUGAGGGCCUGGAGCUGUCUGCCCUGUGGCCAGAGAUCCCCAUGCCUGAGGAGCAGGAGUUCCACAACCACAGCCCCGAUGGGGACUCCAGCCCCGACUACGUGAACAACAGCUCCUAGGAGGAGGACUACAACAAGAGCCUGCCCGAGAAGGAGGAGGGCAUCACCUAUAUCCGCUACUGCCCUGAGGAUGACAGCUACCUGGAGGGCAUGGACUGCAAUGGGGAGGAGUACCUGGCCCAUGGCACACACCCCAUGGACACCGAUGAGUGCCAGGAGGCGGUGGAGGAAUGCGCGGACUCGGCAGGCCUGCACCCUCACAGCCACAGGGCUGAGGGAAGCCAGAACUACCCAGACGGCCACCUGCCCAUCCUGGAGGAUGAGCCCUCAGUCCUGGAGGCCCGUGACCAGGAAGAAGAUGGCCACUACUGUCCCAGCAAAGAAGGCUACCAGGACUGCUACCCCAUGGAGGCCAAUGGGAACACCUGAGGUGUGGGGAUGGGGACCUGGAGGACCAGGAGGAGGACAUCAACCAGAUUGUGGCUGAGAUCAAGAUGAGCCUGAAUAUGGGCCUGAGCUGGGGCCUGGAACUCUGCAGAGGCCUGCCUGCCCAGCAAGGCCCCAGCAGGUACGAGACGAGGCCCAAGUCACUGAACCUCCCUCCGGAGGCAAAGCACUGUGGACACUCCCAGAGAGGCUUCAAGCCCAAGACCAGGACCCCAGAGGAGAGGCUGAAGUGGCCCCAUGAGCAGGUCUUCCAGCUCCAUGUCAUCUAACCCACUGAACAAACGUGGACGUAUCGCCUGCAGAGGCCAUCUAACAACAUUUCCAAAAGUCAUCUUCAGAAGACAUGUAUGUUCUAUCAUUUCUCUUAAACAAGUGAGAAUUUGCAAGAUGUGUGUUUUUCUAACUCUAUCAUACGUCGGCAACCUCUACAUCUAGAAGGACUAGAUGUGACAAAUGUUUUCUAUUAAAAGGUUGGGGUGCAGUUGAGAGCAGCUUUUUCAUAUUAUAUACACAGGGCUUCC